RNAcentral lists this ribosomal RNA (450 nucleotides) under uncultured bacterium. Its description in RNAcentral is "bacterial SSU rRNA". It matches the Rfam family "Bacterial small subunit ribosomal RNA", at positions 354 to 796 of the family's 1533-position model. The record is from RNAcentral.
GUGGGGAAUAUUGCACAAUGGGCGCAAGCCUGAUGCAGCCAUGCCGCGUGUGUGAAGAAGGCCUUCGGGUUGUAAAGCACUUUCAGCGAGGAGGAAGGUGGUGAACUUAAUACGUUCAUCAAUUGACGUUACUCGCAGAAGAAGCACCGGCUAACUCCGUGCCAGCAGCCGCGGUAAUACGGAGGGUGCAAGCGUUAAUCGGAAUUACUGGGCGUAAAGCGCACGCAGGCGGUUUGUUAAGUCAGAUGUGAAAUCCCCGGGCUCAACCUGGGAACUGCAUUUGAAACUGGCAAGCUAGAGUCUCGUAGAGGGGGGUAGAAUUCCAGGUGUAGCGGUGAAAUGCGUAGAGAUCUGGAGGAAUACCGGUGGCGAAGGCGGCCCCCUGGACGAAGACUGACGCUCAGGUGCGAAAGCGUGGGGAGCAAACAGGAUUAGAAACCCUAGUAGUCC